RNAcentral lists this ribosomal RNA (254 nucleotides) under uncultured bacterium. RNAcentral's name for it is "partial 16S ribosomal RNA". It matches the Rfam family "Bacterial small subunit ribosomal RNA", at positions 524 to 776 of the family's 1533-position model. The record is from RNAcentral.
UACGUAGGCAGCGAGCGUUGUUCGGAGUUACUGGGCGUAAAGGGUGUGUAGGCGGUUGUUUAAGUUUGGGGUGAAAUCUCCCGGCUCAACUGGGAGGGUGCGCCGAAUACUGAAUGACUUCGAGUGCGGGAGAGGAGAGUGGAAUUCCUGGUGUAGCGGUGAAAUGCGUAGAUAUCAGGAGGAACACCGGUGGUGUAGACGGCUCUCUGGACCGUAACUGACGCUGAGACACGAAAGCGUGGGUAGCAAACGGG